UGGUUAUUUAGCAGAAAUUCACAGUAAAUUCACAGUAAAACAGGACUGUUCGGCUAGAAGUAUUUAAUUAGUCCUCUUACAUUUCUCAGCAUUGAUCAUUGAUUUUGUAAACGUCCAAAACAUUUUAUCGAAUGGUUAUUUUACAUAAUUUUUAAAAAAUCUUAAUGUACAGAUAUUUUGAUAAAACCAAUUAAGGCUAAUUUUAACAUUCGAAAAACGAGCAAACGGAGAAAUAUAUAGGCUGCACAAAAAAAAAAUACAUUUAUUUAUUUUUAAUGCCUAGAUAUUUUCCUGCAUAUUUUAAAAAUUAUAAAUUCUAUCCGUUAUUACUGUUUUGAAAAAGGCUUUCUAAAGCGCAGAGAGAGCGGCUUCUUUAGAGUAGGAGGUUUUUGUCCGACCACUGAACGAGUUUGUAUCACUGUGGUACACUUUUGGUGGCGGAACAAAAAUCUCAAUUGGACGUAAGUAACUUUUACUGCUUAUCCAAAAGUUGGUAUUUUCUGUAAUCAUAAUCGAUAUGUUUGAUGUUUGAUAAUGAUGGAGACUUAAAAACGUUGCGAUUGCAUUUAUUGUGAUUUACGGAGCAACAGCUAUUACGACGUAAUUUAUCUAAUAAUAGAAUGUAUGUGUGUAUUUUAUUUUAUUAUUUCAAAUAUCUAAAAGGCUUUUGGAUAAGUCCUUUAUUAGUUUUCUAAAGCAUUAAUUUCGAAGCUACAUAUUACGCGGUAAAUGGUGGAGAGAGCGGAGUGUUUAGAUCAGGAGGUUUUUGUACAGACAGUAAACGAGAUUGUAACACUGUGGUUGACUUUCGGUGGCGGAACAAAACUAUCAAUUGGACAAAAGAAAAACAAGCGUCUUUGGGGUUGUAUCGUUCACUAACGCUGAAGCUAAACUACGGCGCUGUGAAGAGAGGAGACGGCAGUGUGUUUAGAGCAGGUUUAUGUACGGACCUUAAACGAAGUUAGUGUGGAGGACACUGGACUUAAGAAGAACUUCACUUUUUAUUCACAGUAAAUCACAGUUUUAAGUGACGCCCCGCCCACCCUCACGGUCCUGCCCCCCUCCAGUG
Electrophorus electricus (electric eel) is the source of this 1069-nucleotide non-coding RNA. The record is from RefSeq and is a predicted model, not a curated record. Lineage: Eukaryota; Metazoa; Chordata; Actinopteri; Gymnotiformes; Gymnotidae.